CGGAUGAACGCUGGCGGCGUGCCUAACACAUGCAAGUCGAGCGAAUGAAGUUCCUUCGGGAACGGAUUUAGCGGCGGACGGGUGAGUAACACGUGGGCAACCUGCCUCAUAGAGGGGAAUAGCCUUCCGAAAGGGAGAUUAAUACCGCAUAAGAUUGUAGUACCGCAUGGUACAGCAAUUAAAGGAGCAAUCCGCUAUGAGAUGGGCCCGCGGCGCAUUAGCUAGUUGGUGAGGUAACGGCUCACCAAGGCGACGAUGCGUAGCCGACCUGAGAGGGUGAUCGGCCACAUUGGGACUGAGACACGGCCCAGACUCCUACGGGAGGCAGCAGUGGGGAAUAUUGCACAAUGGGGGAAACCCUGAUGCAGCAACGCCGCGUGAGUGAUGACGGCCUUCGGGUUGUAAAGCUCUGUCUUCAGGGACGAUAAUGACGGUACCUGAGGAGGAAGCCACGGCUAACUACGUG
This 466-nucleotide ribosomal RNA is filed under the name uncultured bacterium. RNAcentral's name for it is "bacterial SSU rRNA". It matches the Rfam family "Bacterial small subunit ribosomal RNA", at positions 27 to 507 of the family's 1533-position model. The record is from RNAcentral.